RNAcentral lists this ribosomal RNA (301 nucleotides) under uncultured bacterium. RNAcentral's name for it is "partial 16S ribosomal RNA". It matches the Rfam family "Bacterial small subunit ribosomal RNA", at positions 510 to 808 of the family's 1533-position model. The record is from RNAcentral.
CGCCGCCGCGGUAAUACGUAGGGUGCAAGCGUUAAUCGGAAUUACUGGGCGUAAAGCGUGCGCAGGCGGUUAUAUAAGACAGAUGUGAAAUCCCCGGGCUCAACCUGGGAACUGCAUUUGUGACUGUAUAGCUAGAGUACGGCAGAGGGGGAUGGAAUUCCGCGUGUAGCAGUGAAAUGCGUAGAUAUGCGGAGGAACACCGAUGGCGAAGGCAAUCCCCUGGGCCUGUACUGACGCUCAUGCACGAAAGCGUGGGGAGCAAACAGGAUUAGAUACCCCUGUAGUCUCUGUCUCUUAUACA